UAGGUAAUUCUCUUAAAUUUUCUAAAUUUAUCUUUUUGUUUACAAAAAAUUACUUAG
Molecule: transfer RNA, 57 nt
Filed under: Globodera ellingtonae
Lineage: Eukaryota; Metazoa; Nematoda; Chromadorea; Rhabditida; Heteroderidae
Description: tRNA-Ser
Source: RNAcentral